CCUACGGGUGGCAGCAGUGGGGAAUAUUGCACAAUGGGGGAAACCCUGAUGCAGCAACGCCGCGUGAGUGAAGAAGUAUUUCGGUAUGUAAAGCUCUAUCAGCAGGGAAGAAGAUGACGGUACCUGAGUAAGAAGCCCCGGCUAACUACGUGCCAGCAGCCGCGGUAAUACGUAGGGGGCAAGCGUUAUCCGGAUUUACUGGGUGUAAAGGGAGCGUAGACGGCUGCGCAAGUCUGAAGUGAAAGCCCGGGGCUCAACCCCGGGACUGCUUUGGAAACUGUGCAGCUAGAGUGCAGGAGAGGUAAGCGGAAUUCCUAGUGUAGCGGUGAAAUGCGUAGAUAUUAGGAGGAACACCAGUGGCGAAGGCGGCUUACUGGACUGUAACUGACGUUGAGGCUCGAAAGCGUGGGGAGCAAACAGGAUUAGAUACCCGGGUAGUC
Molecule: ribosomal RNA, 440 nt
Filed under: uncultured bacterium
Lineage: Bacteria
Description: partial 16S ribosomal RNA
Rfam family: Bacterial small subunit ribosomal RNA
Source: RNAcentral